UAAUGUAUGGGGAUCUGCCCGAUAGAGGGGGAUAACUACUGGAAACGGUGGCUAAUACCGCAUAAUGUCUACGGACCAAAGCAGGGGCUCUUCGGACCUUGCACUAUCGGAUGAACCCAUAUGGGAUUAGCUAGUAGGUGGGGUAAAGGCUCACCUAGGCGACGAUCUCUAGCUAGUCUGAGAGGAUGAUCAGCCACACUGGGACUGAGACACGGCCCAG
RNAcentral lists this ribosomal RNA (220 nucleotides) under uncultured bacterium. Its description in RNAcentral is "partial 16S ribosomal RNA". It matches the Rfam family "Bacterial small subunit ribosomal RNA", at positions 111 to 334 of the family's 1533-position model. The record is from RNAcentral.